GGGCCCGCACAAGCGGUGGAGCAUGUGGUUUAAUUCGAUGAUACGCGAGGAACCUUACCAGGGCUUAAAUGUAGAUUGCAUAAGCUAGAGAUAGCUUUUUCUUCGGACUAUCUACAAGGUGCUGCAUGGUUGUCGUCAGCUCGUGCCGUGAGGUGUCAGGUUAAGUCCUAUAACGAGCGCAACCCCUGUCGUUAGUUGCCAACAGGUUAUGCUGGGAACUCUAACGAGACUGCCGGUGCAAACUGAGAGGAAGGUGGGGACGACGUCAAAUCAUCACGGCCCUUACGUCCUGGGCUACACACGUGCUACAAUGGUCGGUACAGAGAGCAGCCACCUUGCGAAAGGGAGCAAAUCUUUAAAACCGGUCUCAGUUCGGAUCGCAGUCUGCAACUCGACUGCGUGAAGCUGGAAUCGCUAGUAA
This 421-nucleotide ribosomal RNA is filed under the name uncultured bacterium. Its description in RNAcentral is "bacterial SSU rRNA". It matches the Rfam family "Bacterial small subunit ribosomal RNA", at positions 917 to 1341 of the family's 1533-position model. The record is from RNAcentral.